Molecule: long non-coding RNA, 560 nt
Organism: Manduca sexta (tobacco hornworm)
Lineage: Eukaryota; Metazoa; Arthropoda; Insecta; Lepidoptera; Sphingidae
Exons: 3
Source: RefSeq, a predicted model, not a curated record
ACGUAAAUGGAAGCGGGAGAUUUGAACAAAUUCGUAAUGACAUUUCCCAAUCCAGAAAAUGGCACUUUUUAUGAUUUAUUUUAGACAACAUACGAAAUUAGAAAAAUCUUAAUGACCUAUAUUAGAGUAUUAUGGAAAAUUAAUAGAUAAGAAUUUAUUGAACAAUGUAUAAACGCUUCGUCUUUUGCUUGGUAUUAUUAAUGAUAAUAGAAAAUGAAUCUAGAGGCAUAAAGAUUAGAGUAAAACGACAGACAAUAGAAGAAGCCCCUCCAUUUACAUUCUCCCUAUCUGGAGUGAUGGAAGAUGCUAGCCGAAUUUUUGGAAAAGUUGUAGAGAAAUUGUUUGCAAAUAAAAAAAUGUUGGGUGUCGAGCCAAGAAUAAUUUCUUGAUUGUGUUUUUGAAAUGUAAUCUGUACACAUUGAAAAAAGGCUUAUUUAAUUAGUUUUUAUUUUUAGCUACUUUUUUUAGAUAUCAUUUGGCAGAUAUUUAUUUAUAUGCAAAUGUUUGCAAAAAAUUGUAAGUCUAAAUUUAAAACUGCAAUAAAAGUAUGUUUUUACCAA